CCCUUAGAUGUUCUGGGCCGCACGCGUGCUACACUGAACGGUUCAAUGGGUAAGGUAGUGCGAAAGCAUGACCUAAUCUCGAAAUCCGUUCGUGCUGGGGAUAGAAGCUUGCAAUUAUCCUUCUUGAACGAGGAAUACCUUGUAAGCGUGAGUCAUCAUCUCACGCUGAAUACGUCCCUGCCCUUUGUACACACCGCCCGCCGCUCCUACCGAUUGAGUGUUCCGGUGAGGCUUUGGGAGAAUGGCCUCAACAUGAGUUUAUCGUGUUUUGCCGUUUGAACUUAGUCAAACCUUAUCACUUAGAGGAAGGAGAAGUCGUAACA
Molecule: ribosomal RNA, 323 nt
Filed under: uncultured eukaryote
Lineage: Eukaryota
Description: partial 18S ribosomal RNA
Rfam family: Eukaryotic small subunit ribosomal RNA
Source: RNAcentral